This 2990-nucleotide ribosomal RNA is filed under the name Salmonella enterica. RNAcentral's name for it is "23S ribosomal RNA". It matches the Rfam family "Bacterial large subunit ribosomal RNA". Lineage: Bacteria; Pseudomonadati; Pseudomonadota; Gammaproteobacteria; Enterobacterales; Enterobacteriaceae. The record is from RNAcentral. RNAcentral also lists the same sequence under 4 other names.
GGUUAAGCGACUAAGCGUACACGGUGGAUGCCCUGGCAGUCAGAGGCGAUGAAGGACGUGCUAAUCUGCGAUAAGCGCCGGUAAGGUGAUAUGAACCGUUAUAACCGGCGAUUUCCGAAUGGGGAAACCCAGUGUGAUUCGUCACACUAUCAUUAACUGAAUCCAUAGGUUAAUGAGGCGAACCGGGGGAACUGAAACAUCUAAGUACCCCGAGGAAAAGAAAUCAACCGAGAUUCCCCCAGUAGCGGCGAGCGAACGGGGAGGAGCCCAGAGCCUGAAUCAGCAUGUGUGUUAGUGGAAGCGUCUGGAAAGGCGCGCGAUACAGGGUGACAGCCCCGUACACAAAAGCGCAUGUGCUGUGAGCUCGAUGAGUAGGGCGGGACACGUGGUAUCCUGUCUGAAUAUGGGGGGACCAUCCUCCAAGGCUAAAUACUCCUGACUGACCGAUAGUGAACCAGUACCGUGAGGGAAAGGCGAAAAGAACCCCGGCGAGGGGAGUGAAAAAGAACCUGAAACCGUGUACGUACAAGCAGUGGGAGCACCCUUCGGGGUGUGACUGCGUACCUUUUGUAUAAUGGGUCAGCGACUUAUAUUCUGUAGCAAGGUUAACCGUAUAGGGGAGCCGGAGGGAAACCGAGUCUUAAUUGGGCGUUAAGUUGCAGGGUAUAGACCCGAAACCCGGUGAUCUAGCCAUGGGCAGGUUGAAGGUUGGGUAACACUAACUGGAGGACCGAACCGACUAAUGUUGAAAAAUUAGCGGAUGACCUGUGGCUGGGGGUGAAAGGCCAAUCAAACCGGGAGAUAGCUGGUUCUCCCCGAAAGCUAUUUAGGUAGCGCCUCGUGAAUUCAUCUCCGGGGGUAGAGCACUGUUUCGGCUAGGGGGCCAUCCCGGCUUACCAACCCGAUGCAAACUGCGAAUACCGGAGAAUGUUAUCACGGGAGACACACGGCGGGUGCUAACGUCCGUCGUGAAGAGGGAAACAACCCAGACCGCCAGCUAAGGUCCCAAAGUCAUGGUUAAGUGGGAAACGAUGUGGGAAGGCCCAGACAGCCAGGAUGUUGGCUUAGAAGCAGCCAUCAUUUAAAGAAAGCGUAAUAGCUCACUGGUCGAGUCGGCCUGCGCGGAAGAUGUAACGGGGCUAAACCAUGCACCGAAGCUGCGGCAGCGAACGUAUCACCCAAGACAACUUUACGGAGUUGACGAUUGACGGAGCGAAGCGACGUCAAAGCGUUCAUUAAAGUCGAGUUGGCUUAGGGAUACGUUCGUUGGGUAGGGGAGCGUUCUGUAAGCCUGUGAAGGUGUGUCGUGAGGCAUGCUGGAGGUAUCAGAAGUGCGAAUGCUGACAUAAGUAACGAUAAAGCGGGUGAAAAGCCCGCUCGCCGGAAGACCAAGGGUUCCUGUCCAACGUUAAUCGGGGCAGGGUGAGUCGACCCCUAAGGCGAGGCCGAAAGGCGUAGUCGAUGGGAAACGGGUUAAUAUUCCCGUACUUGGUGUUACUGCGAAGGGGGGACGGAGAAGGCUAUGUUGGCCGGGCGACGGUUGUCCCGGUUUAAGCGUGUAGGUGUGUGUUCCAGGUAAAUCCGGUUCACUUUAACACUGAGGCGUGACGACGAGGCACUACGGUGCUGAAGCAACAAAUGCCCUGCUUCCAGGAAAAGCCUCUAAGCAUCAGGUAACACGAAAUCGUACCCCAAACCGACACAGGUGGUCAGGUAGAGAAUACCAAGGCGCUUGAGAGAACUCGGGUGAAGGAACUAGGCAAAAUGGUGCCGUAACUUCGGGAGAAGGCACGCUGACACGUAGGUGAAGUGAUUUACUCAUGGAGCUGAAGUCAGUCGAAGAUACCAGCUGGCUGCAACUGUUUAUUAAAAACACAGCACUGUGCAAACACGAAAGUGGACGUAUACGGUGUGACGCCUGCCCGGUGCCGGAAGGUUAAUUGAUGGGGUCAGCGUAAGCGAAGCUCCUGAUCGAAGCCCCGGUAAACGGCGGCCGUAACUAUAACGGUCCUAAGGUAGCGAAAUUCCUUGUCGGGUAAGUUCCGACCUGCACGAAUGGCGUAAUGAUGGCCAGGCUGUCUCCACCCGAGACUCAGUGAAAUUGAACUCGCUGUGAAGAUGCAGUGUACCCGCGGCAAGACGGAAAGACCCCGUGAACCUUUACUAUAGCUUGACACUGAACAUUGAGCCUUGAUGUGUAGGAUAGGUGGGAGGCUUUGAAGUGUGGACGCCAGUCUGCAUGGAGCCGACCUUGAAAUACCACCCUUUAAUGUUUGAUGUUCUAACGUGGACCCGUAAUCCGGGUUGCGGACAGUGUCUGGUGGGUAGUUUGACUGGGGCGGUCUCCUCCUAAAGAGUAACGGAGGAGCACGAAGGUUGGCUAAUCCUGGUCGGACAUCAGGAGGUUAGUGCAAUGGCAUAAGCCAGCUUGACUGCGAGCGUGACGGCGCGAGCAGGUGCGAAAGCAGGUCAUAGUGAUCCGGUGGUUCUGAAUGGAAGGGCCAUCGCUCAACGGAUAAAAGGUACUCCGGGGAUAACAGGCUGAUACCGCCCAAGAGUUCAUAUCGACGGCGGUGUUUGGCACCUCGAUGUCGGCUCAUCACAUCCUGGGGCUGAAGUAGGUCCCAAGGGUAUGGCUGUUCGCCAUUUAAAGUGGUACGCGAGCUGGGUUUAGAACGUCGUGAGACAGUUCGGUCCCUAUCUGCCGUGGGCGCUGGAGAACUGAGGGGGGCUGCUCCUAGUACGAGAGGACCGGAGUGGACGCAUCACUGGUGUUCGGGUUGUCAUGCCAAUGGCACUGCCCGGUAGCUAAAUGCGGAAGAGAUAAGUGCUGAAAGCAUCUAAGCACGAAACUUGCCCCGAGAUGAGUUCUCCCUGAGACUUAGAGUCUCCUGAAGGAACGUUGAAGACGACGACGUUGAUAGGCCGGGUGUGUAAGCGCAGCGAUGCGUUGAGCUAACCGGUACUAAUGAACCGUGAGGCUUAACCUU